UACAGAGGGCCCGAGCGUUAGGCGGAAUCACUGGGCUUAAAGCGUGUGUAGGCGGAUUUGUAAGUACCUUGUGAAAUCCCACGGCUCAACCGUGGAACUGCUUGGUAUACUGCUUAUCUUGGGCCAUCUAGGGGCUAGCGGAACAAACGGUGGAGCGGUGAAAUGCGUAGAUAUCGUUUGGAACGCCAAUGGUGAAAACAGCUAGCUGGGGAUGUGCCGACGCUGAGACACGAAAGCCAGGGGAGCGAACGGG
Molecule: ribosomal RNA, 253 nt
Filed under: uncultured bacterium
Lineage: Bacteria
Description: partial 16S ribosomal RNA
Rfam family: Bacterial small subunit ribosomal RNA
Source: RNAcentral